UACGGGGGGGGGGUAAGCGUUGUUCGGAAUUACUGGGCGUAAAGGGCUCGUAGGCGGCCAACUAAGUCGGACGUGAAAUCCCUCAGCUUAACUGGGGAACUGCGUCCGAUACUGGAUGGCUUGGAUUUGGGAGAGGGAUGCGGAAUUCCAGGUGUAGCGGUGAAAUGCGUAGAUAUCUGGAGGAACACCGGUGGCGAAGGCGGCAUCCUGGACCAAUAUUGACGCUGAGGAGCGAAAGCCAGGGGAGCAAACGGG
This 255-nucleotide ribosomal RNA is filed under the name uncultured bacterium. Its description in RNAcentral is "partial 16S ribosomal RNA". It matches the Rfam family "Bacterial small subunit ribosomal RNA", at positions 522 to 776 of the family's 1533-position model. The record is from RNAcentral.